This 442-nucleotide ribosomal RNA is filed under the name uncultured eukaryote. RNAcentral describes it as "eukaryotic LSU rRNA". It matches the Rfam family "Eukaryotic large subunit ribosomal RNA", at positions 1143 to 1582 of the family's 3401-position model. The record is from RNAcentral.
AGCAGAACGGGCGAUUCGGGAUGAACCGGAAGCGGGGAGAAGGGCCCGAGAUUGCGUCGACGCGGAUCCCGAAAAGGGCGUCGAUCCGUCGCGACAGCGGGACGGUGGUCAUGGAAGUCGAAAUCCGCUAAGAAGCGUGUAAAAACGUACCCGCCCAACGGAUCGGCCCCGAAAAUUGAUGGCGCUCGAACGCAACCCUCGAACCCCGCCGACGGAGGCUAGGGGAGGCCCCGUCGAGUAGGCGGACGCGCGGGUUCGCUUCGACGCUCUCGCGCGAGCGGGGGCGGAGCGGCCCGUGGUGCAGAUCUUGGUGGUAGUAGCGAUCACCCAGGCGAGAACCCUGAGGGCCGAAGUGGAGAAGGGGUUUUCUCGGAGAACGGCACUCGCUCGAGAGUUAGUCGAUCCUAAGCUGCCGGCGGCAGCCACGAAACGGUCGAUCGGG